GGGCCGGCCGCGGGCAGGCGGGCAUCUGGCGGCCGAGGCCGGGACUUCGGGGCCCCUCCCGGGCGAGUCGCGGGGCGGCGGCGGGAAGGGGCGCCGCACGGAGGAAGUGCCCUCUUGGCCGCAGCCAGAGCCGCGCCGCAGGUGCCGCGAUGUCGUCCUGGCCGGGGCGCGAGGAUGCGAGGGCUGGGGGCGCGUGGUGGCCGCGGGAGCCGCUGGAUCAGGAACUGCAGCGGGCCCGGGAGCAGAAGCGGCGGCGGCACGACGCCCAGCAGCUGCAGCAGCUCAAGCGCCUGGAGUCCUUAAAGGGUCUCACCUGUGGCCAGGAGCGGUGGCUCACGCCUGUAAUCCCAGCACUUUGAGAGGCCGCGGUGGACAGAUCACGAGAGCUUCCCCUGUGUCUGCUGUUUCUCAAAAUGAUCCUUAGCCAAAAAGGUGUGCUUUGAGGUAGCAUAUUCUGGUCUCCUACAGCUAUUCAACUGAGGACAGAGUAGUUAUGAAAAACCUCCUCCUGGGCUUAUCAAGGUUGGCAUUGCAAAUGGUAUGGUCACCGAACAGGCUACAAAGAAUGCCCUUUCUUUAUCAAAGACAACCAAAAGUUACAACAGUUCAGAGUAGCACAUGAGGAUUUCAUGUAUGACAUCAUACGAGACAAUAAACAACAUGAAAAGAAUGUAAGGAUACAGCAGUUAAAACAGUUACUGGAGGAUUCUACCUCAGGUGAAGAUAGGAGCAGCUCCAGUUCCUCUGAAGGUAAAGAGAAACACAAGAAAAAGAAGAAGAAAGAAAAGCAUAAGAAAAGGAAGAAAGAAAAGAAAAAGAAGAAAAAACGGAAGCACAAAUCUUCCAAGUCAAAUGAGGGUUCUGACUCAGAGUGACAAGGAUGUGACUUGUUCAACAUUCUCUUCUCAAACACUGACCAAGGAACAGAGGAAGAUGCAGUCAGAGAAAGUAGCAGGAUAGAGACGCCGAGAGAGGAGUAUAUGUGGGUCACAGCAGUGAGCUCCCACCCGCCUUGCAGUGAAGAUGUGACCCCAGGAGAGGGAGUGUCUCCUUCCAGGUGCUAGCUCUGGACAGCAGCUGAUUUUAGGCAGGAAAGUUUCUUCAUCGUUGUCCUCCCUGCUGGUCACAUGAGUUUACGAUUCCUUAGAAGUGUCUCCCACAGGGUGGCAGGACUGGGAGAAUCUCUGAGGCGUGUCUUCCAGGCCCUCCCACAGCUUGUGCCCUCCACAGUGUAGACUUGAACACUUGGCCUCAUGUGAUCCUUCCACCUUGGCCUCCCAAAGCAUUGGGAUUACAGGCGAGAGCCACUGGUUGGCUAAAAUAUUUAUAUUUACCUGACAUGAUUUGUUGAUUUGGGGGCUAGGGAGUUCUUAAAACAACAAUAAAAAAUCUUCUGUGGCUGC
Molecule: long non-coding RNA, 1403 nt
Filed under: Homo sapiens (human)
Lineage: Eukaryota; Metazoa; Chordata; Mammalia; Primates; Hominidae
Description: non-protein coding lnc-KBTBD2-2:6
Source: RNAcentral